This 492-nucleotide ribosomal RNA is filed under the name uncultured bacterium. RNAcentral's name for it is "partial 16S ribosomal RNA". It matches the Rfam family "Bacterial small subunit ribosomal RNA", at positions 29 to 507 of the family's 1533-position model. The record is from RNAcentral.
AGUGAACGCUGGCGGUAGGCCUAACACAUGCAAGUCGAACGGCAGCACAGUAAGAGCUUGCUCUUACGGGUGGCGAGUGGCGGACGGGUGAGGAAUACAUCGGAAUCUACUUUUUCGUGGGGGAUAACGUAGGGAAACUUACGCUAAUACCGCAUACGACCUACGGGUGAAAGCAGGGGAUCUUCGGACCUUGCGCGAUUGAAUGAGCCGAUGUCGGAUUAGCUAGUUGGCGGGGUAAAGGCCCACCAAGGCGACGAUCCGUAGCUGGUCUGAGAGGAUGAUCAGCCACACUGGAACUGAGACACGGUCCAGACUCCUACGGGAGGCAGCAGUGGGGAAUAUUGGACAAUGGGCGCAAGCCUGAUCCAGCCAUACCGCGUGGGUGCAGAAGGCCUUCGGGUUGUAAAGCCCUUUUGUUGGGAAAGAAAAGAAGCAGGUUAAUACCCCGCUGUUCUGACGGUACCCAAAGAAUAAGCACCGGCUAACUUCGUG